Molecule: ribosomal RNA, 381 nt
Filed under: Triticum aestivum (bread wheat)
Lineage: Eukaryota; Viridiplantae; Streptophyta; Magnoliopsida; Poales; Poaceae
Description: partial small subunit ribosomal RNA
Source: RNAcentral
AUGAGAAGUAUCGUGGCCAUGAUCAAGUCUACACCGCCGCAAAUGGUCCAGGAUCAGGUCACGAAGCAGAUUCUCCAUAGGGGCUUCUGUGUGGACGGACUCUAUUCGUUGCUUCCCAAGUAUUGCAAGUUCAAUAAACAAGUGUAUGGUGCCAUCAAGCUCUCUGCUGAAAGGUGGCACAGUCGUUUAGGGCAUCCAUCCUUUGCUACUGUUCAUCAAAUUCUAAGUAGAAAUAAACUCCCAGUUGUUGGUGAGAGAAAUUCAGAAACUAUUUGUGAUUCAUGUCAACGAGCAAAAAGUCAUCAGUUACCAUAUCCCGUUUCUUCUAGUGUGUCUACCAAGCCUUUACAACUUAUCUUUUCUGAUGUUUGGAGUCCAGCA